CCUACGGGUGGCAGCAGUGAGGAAUAUUGGUCCAUGGGCGCGAGCCUGAACCAGCCAAGUAGCGUGAAGGAUGACUGCCCUACGGGUUGUACACUUCUUUUAUAAAGGAAUAAAGUGAGGCACGUGUGCCUUUUUGUAUGUACUUUAUGAAUAAGGCUCGGCUAACUCCGUGCCAGCAGCCGCGGUAAUACGGAGGAUCCGUGCGUUAUCCGGAGUUAUUGGGUUUAAAGGUAGCGUAGAUGGGUUGUUAAGUCAGUUGUGAAAGUUUACGGCUCAACCGUAAAAUUGCAAUGGAUACUGGCAGUCGUGAGUACAGUUGAGGUAGGCGGAAUUCGUGGUGGAGCGGUGAAAUGCUUAGAUAUCACGAAGAACUCCGAUUGCGAAGGCAGCUUACUAAACUGCCACUGACAUUGAUGCUCGAAAGUGUGGGUAUCAAACAGGAUUAGAUACCCCUGUAGUC
RNAcentral lists this ribosomal RNA (460 nucleotides) under uncultured bacterium. Its description in RNAcentral is "partial 16S ribosomal RNA". It matches the Rfam family "Bacterial small subunit ribosomal RNA", at positions 338 to 795 of the family's 1533-position model. The record is from RNAcentral.